CUUUGUUCUUUAUUCUUUUUAUUAUUUUAUCACGUUACAUGUUUACUAAAGAUGUGUACGUAACCUGUCUUAUUAUAUAUUUACUUCUGAUUCGUAGAAAUGAGAGUGCCGUGUAGGGACGAUUAUCAAAAGGCGUUGGGUUUGGUUCACAUUAUAUUAGACAUAUUGGGUAUCAAGUGAAGUCGUUUAUACUCUCACUACAUAUACUUUGAUAUAAUACACAGCUUCAUUACGUUUAGUUAUGGACUUUACUCACAAACGAUUACUUUCCUCUCAGCUUUUCUUUUUAGAACCUACGUACUAAUCAAACAGCAAUGUAGGAAGAAGUUAAAGCCUCCGGCAAAGACGAGUAUGCACUGAAGAGGAAAUAAAUUCAAUGAAGCUGAACAUAAAUUUCGGAACGAUGCAAUCCUACAUAAGAUACCUGUUGCUAUUAUUGCUGAUUUAUUUUGAAAGGUGGCUACAUUGAAUUAAUAUACUGUAAAGCAACUAGAUAGGAAUGCAUAUAUCUACAGAUAAAUCAGGAAAUGAAUCUUUCACGAAGAGAACCUCCAAGAAAUUGUUCUUAUAUCCAUAAAGCCUGUAAUUUUCUUGCUACGUGCACAUGGAAUAGAAAGAAGAAUUACAUCUAUAUAAUACGAAUAAAUAUAGCUCCACAAAUCCGUGAAUUAAUAGUUAAUUCCAUGAAUAAUAGUAUCAAAGUAAUGAAUGUCAAAUAGAAAGUAAUUCCUUAAUAUUUCCAAUUCAAUUCAUCAAGAGCAGUUCAAUGAUCAGAGGAAAUUGAAAAAAAAACCUGUUUCAAAUCCUAUAUCCUCUAGGAAGGAAGAUCAAUCAACUUAGAAUCUACUGUGAGUGAGAUUGAUUAAAAAGAAAAAUUUUUCAGAUAACUGGUAGUAUGCAAUAACUACGUAAAACGGUUUGCUAUGGGAUCUUGAAGGCGAAAGAGGUGAAGUGACCGGUUCGCAUUUACGCACGAAAAGAUCUGCUGCUUCUAGUCAUUGGUCUUCCAGCAUCAUGAGGAAUGUUGAGGAGUGAAAGUGAUCUCAAAAAUAUCUUGGCAUGGAGUACAUGUGUAGAGGUAAGUAUAUUCUCGACUUUUUCCCCUUCUUGGCCUUCUUCUUGUCAAUUCCUCUAUUACGUACUGUAUUUGCAAUAUGUAUAUCCAUGCGCAUUGAAUGUGCUUCCAACCAAUCUAAACAAUUCUCAUUGAAUAACAGUUCACCAUUUUGCAAGUAAGAGUAAAAAUGUUUGGACAGUUGAGAUUUUGUAAUACUGACUCUAUGUUCAAAUGCAAGGACCACUGCAUUUCUAUAAUAUUCAUAACUUUUUUUAUUCUUUAUGCCAUUUGUAUAUCUUUCUGUUAUGUUGAUUUUAUCAAAGAUUAUCCAUUUCUAGUAUUUUUUAAUGAUUACAAGUUGGUCUAACUUGUUUAUCAAAAUCUGAUUAAAAUAAUUAUCUGGAAUUCAACUUAAUGUACUGCAAAGAAUAAAUAGGCUU
Long non-coding RNA from Chelonus insularis, 1497 nucleotides. RefSeq lists it as uncharacterized. The record is from RefSeq and is a predicted model, not a curated record. The transcript has 5 exons. Lineage: Eukaryota; Metazoa; Arthropoda; Insecta; Hymenoptera; Braconidae.